This 526-nucleotide ribosomal RNA is filed under the name uncultured bacterium. RNAcentral describes it as "bacterial SSU rRNA". It matches the Rfam family "Bacterial small subunit ribosomal RNA", at positions 777 to 1301 of the family's 1533-position model. The record is from RNAcentral.
AAUAGAUACCCAGGUAGUCCACGCCGUAAACGAUGAGUGCUAAGUGUUAGAGGGUUUCCGCCCUUUAGUGCUGCAGCUAACGCAUUAAGCACUCCGCCUGGGGAGUACGGUCGCAAGACUGAAACUCAAAGGAAUUGACGGGGGCCCGCACAAGCGGUGGAGCAUGUGGUUUAAUUCGAAGCAACGCGAAGAACCUUACCAGGUCUUGACAUCCCACUGACCGGUAUAGAGAUAUACCUUUCCCUUCGGGGACAGUGGUGACAGGUGGUGCAUGGUUGUCGUCAGCUCGUGUCGUGAGAUGUUGGGUUAAGUCCCGCAACGAGCGCAACCCUUGAUCUUAGUUGCCAGCAUUUAGUUGGGCACUCUAAGGUGACUGCCGGUGACAAACCGGAGGAAGGUGGGGAUGACGUCAAAUCAUCAUGCCCCUUAUGACCUGGGCUACACACGUGCUACAAUGGAUGGUACAAAGGGCUGCAAGACUGCGAAGUCAAGCCAAUCCCAUAAACCGAUUCUCAGUUCGGAUUGC